RNAcentral lists this ribosomal RNA (346 nucleotides) under uncultured bacterium. Its description in RNAcentral is "partial 16S ribosomal RNA". It matches the Rfam family "Bacterial small subunit ribosomal RNA", at positions 338 to 681 of the family's 1533-position model. The record is from RNAcentral.
CCUACGGGCGACAGCAGUGAGGAAUAUUGGUCAAUGGCCGUAAGGCUGAACCAGCCAAGUCGCGUGAAGGAAGAAGGAUCUAUGGUGUGUAAACUUCUUGUAUAGGGGAAUAAAGGUAGCCACGUGUGGAUAUUUGCAUGUACCCUAUGAAUAAGCAUCGGCUAACUCCGUGCCAGCAGCCGCGGUAAUACGGAGGAUGCGAGCGUUAUCCGGAUUUAUUGGGUUUCAAGGGUGCGUAGGUUGUUUUUUAAGUCAGCGGUGAAAGUUUGUGGCUCAACCCUAAAAUUGCCGUUGAAACUGGCAGCCUUGAGUGUGUUUGCGGUAGGCGGACUGCGUGGUGUAGCGG